AGGAGGCCAAGGCACAAGAGUUUCUUAAACCCAGGAGGCAGAGGUUGCAGCAAGCCGAGAUCCCACCACUGCACUCCAGCCUGGGCAACAGAGUGAGACCCUGCCUCCAACAACAACAACAACAACAACAAAAAGUGUAAUCCUUUUUAUUUAACUUGUUGGACUUGAUAAAACUCUAAGAAUUCUUGUGUUGAUGUUCAUGAGGGAUAAUUGUCUUCUUUUCUUGCAAUGUCUGAUUUGGGGAUCAAAGCAAUGCUGGCCUCAGAGACAGAACUGAGUAUUCUUUCCUCUUAUAUUUCUUGUGAGAGGUUGUGCAGAAUUAGUAUUAUUCCCUUAAAUACGUGGCAACAUUUACCACUAAAGCUACCUAUGUCUACCGUUUUCUUUGUGAUAACACAUCUUUCAUAGAGCUAUGUAGGUUUUCCACUUCUUCCUAAGUAAACUAAUUUGUAUCUUUUAAGGAAUCUGCAUGGGUUCAUCUAAAUUGUCAAAUGUAUUCCUAGAAGUUAUUCGUAAUAGUCUCUUAUUAUUGUUGUAAUAUCUGUAGAAUCUGUAGUGAAGCUACCUAAUUUCUGACAUUGGUAAUCUAUCUUUUCUCCUGAUCAGUCUAAAGAGAAUUUUCUUGAGCUUCUCAAAGAACCAGCUUUUGGUUAAUUAAUUUUCUAUAUUUUCUCUUCCUAAUGUCUAAUUUCUGUUUUACUUGCAUGAUUUCCCCUUUUCUGUGUACACUUUUAAUUUGGUCUUUUUUUCCUAGUUUCUUAAAGUGGAAGCUGAGGUCACUGAUUUGAGACCUUUUUUUCUAACACAGGCAUUGAGCCCUAUAAAUUCCCCUCAGUACUGCUUUACUUGCAUCACGGGAUACAAAGCCGACACAAAAGCCAACUGUAUUUCUAUACACCAGCAAUGAACAAGUAGAAACCAAAAAUCAGAAAAACAAUACCAUUUACAACAGCUCCAAGAAAAUAGUUACAAAUCUAAGAAAAUAUGUACAAGAUCUGUAUGCUAAAACUAUAAAAUGCUGAAGAAAGAAACUAAACAUGCAAAUAAAUGGAGAGACACGUCAUGUUCACGGAUUAAAAGGCGAUCAUAAAUAUGUUAAUUCUCCCCAAACUUAUCUAUAGAUUUAAUGCAAUUCUAAUCAAAAUCCCAGCAGGACUUUUGUAGCUAAGCUAAUCCUAAAAUUUAAAUGGAAAGGUAACACUGAUACAAUAGUCAAAAUAAUUUUAAAAGAAAAAUAAAAUUGGAAGAAUUAUAUUACCAGAUUUUAAUACUUAUUACAAAGCUAUAGUCAUCUUGACUUAUGUGGUAUUGGCAAAAGGAGAGAUGUACAGAUCAAUGGGAGAAAAUAAAAAGUCUAGAAAUAGACCCAUACCAAUAUGGCUAAUUCCUGACAAAGAUAUAAAAGAAAUUCAGCAGAGAAAGGAUAGUCUUUCCAACAAAUGGUGCUGGAACAACUAGACAUCCAUCCAUAUGACCUAGGACUAGACAAUAGUUUCUUAGACAUGACAAAAAAAUCACACUCUAUUUUAAAAAUUUAAUUAAUUGGACUUCAUCAAAUUAAAAUUUUUGUUCUCUGAAAAACACUGGUAAGUAAACAAAAAGACAAGCUGGGCUAGGCAUGGCGGCUCAUGCCUACAAUCUCAGCAUUUUGGGAGGCCAAGGCAGAAGGAUCACUUCAGGCCAGGAGUUCGAGACCAGCCUGGCCAACGUAGCAAGAUCCCAUCUCUAAAAAAAAAAAAAAAAAAAAAAAAAAAUUUUUUUUUUAAAGACAAGCUACAGACUGGGAGAAAAUGCUGCAAAACACAUAUCUGACAACAUAUUUGUAUCCAUAAUAUGUAGAUUCUUAAACCCAAUGGUAAUAUAACAAUCCAAUUUUAAGAUGAACAAAAGAUUUGAAGACUCUUCACCAAAGACAUACAGAUGACAGAAAUGCACAUGAAAAGAUGUUCACCAUCAGCCAUUAGGGAAAUUCAAAUUAAAGCCAUGAUUAGAUAUCAGUACACACCUAUCAGAAUGGCUAAAAUAAGAAACAGACAAUACCAAGUGCUGAUAAAUAUGCAGACCAAUUGGAAUUACCUUUCUGCUGAAUAACAACUUUUUCUUAAACACACUAUGUAAAGAUGCUUUAAGUGAUAUUUUGAUAUUGUGCUUUUAGACAGACACACUCGCCAAUUGACUCAGUACAAGUGUCUAGUCAGAGAAUAUAGGGAAAAAAAUUUGAAUUGCACAACAUAUGUGAACAAAACAUAAAAUGCUUUUCUUGGCAUGGGUAGAAACUUCCAGACUUCCGUCUAUUGUGUUCACUAUUUCCUCAUUUUUAAAAGUGUUCUUGGAUUUAGGCUUUAUUUUGUCCUUAAGCAGAACUUCUGAAAAAGUUCAAAUAGUAAACAUAU
This 2393-nucleotide long non-coding RNA is filed under the name Homo sapiens (human). RNAcentral's name for it is "HSALNT0175939". The record is from RNAcentral. Lineage: Eukaryota; Metazoa; Chordata; Mammalia; Primates; Hominidae.